UUGUAUAACAGAGGUGCCUAAGGCUGUCGCUGACCUCCAUAGGUCGUGCACGCCCGAAGGUGCUCUCUCACAUCCAUCUCACCCCUUUGUGCAUCACCGCGUGUGCUCCCCUAUUGGGCUUGUUCCAAAGGAGGGUUCGCGUUUUUAUAUGAACACCAAUUUUAAAAAGCAUGUGUAGAAUGUCUUACUUUUUGCGAUUACGCGCAAUCAAUA
This 213-nucleotide unclassified non-coding RNA is filed under the name uncultured Lactifluus. Its description in RNAcentral is "sequence contains ITS1". The record is from RNAcentral. Lineage: Eukaryota; Fungi; Basidiomycota; Agaricomycetes; Russulales; Russulaceae.